RNAcentral lists this ribosomal RNA (240 nucleotides) under uncultured bacterium. Its description in RNAcentral is "partial 16S ribosomal RNA". It matches the Rfam family "Bacterial small subunit ribosomal RNA", at positions 32 to 257 of the family's 1533-position model. The record is from RNAcentral.
AAUCAACGCUGGCGGCGUGCCUAACACAUGCAAGUCGAACGCGACUGGGGCUUCGGCCUCAGUUGAGUGGCGAACGGGUGAGUAACACGUGGGUGACCUACCUUCGAAUGGGGGAUAACGUCCCGAAGGGACGCUAAUACCGCAUAACAUCCUGCCUUUGAACAGGCGGAGAUCAAAGCCGGGGAUCGCAAGACCUGGCGUUUGAAGAGGGGCCCGCGUCCGAUUAGCUAGUUGGGAGGU